RNAcentral lists this ribosomal RNA (392 nucleotides) under uncultured bacterium. Its description in RNAcentral is "bacterial SSU rRNA". It matches the Rfam family "Bacterial small subunit ribosomal RNA", at positions 97 to 485 of the family's 1533-position model. The record is from RNAcentral.
GGCGAACGGGUGAGUAAUGCAUCGGAACGUGCCCAGUCGUGGGGGAUAACUGCUCGAAAGAGCAGCUAAUACCGCAUACGACCUGAGGGUGAAAGCGGGGGACCGUAAGGCCUCGCGCGAUUGGAGCGGCCGAUGUCAGAUUAGCUAGUUGGUGGGGUAAAGGCCUACCAAGGCAACGAUCUGUAGUUGGUCUGAGAGGACGACCAGCCACACUGGGACUGAGACACGGCCCAGACUCCUACGGGAGGCAGCAGUGGGGAAUUUUGGACAAUGGGCGCAAGCCUGAUCCAGCAAUGCCGCGUGCAGGAAGAAGGCCUUCGGGUUGUAAACUGCUUUUGUCAGGGAAGAAAUCUUCUGGGCUAAUACCCCGGGAGGAUGACGGUACCUGAAGA